UACGGGGGGGGCAAGCGUUGUUCGGAAUUACUGGGCGUAAAGGGCUCGUAGGCGGCCAACUAAGUCGGAUGUGAAAUCCCCAGGCUCAACUUGGGAACUGCAUCCGAUACUGGAUGGCUUGAAUUCGGGAGAGGGAUGCAGAAUUCCAGGUGUAGCGGUGAAAUGCGUAGAUAUCUGGAGGAAUACCGGUGGCGAAGGCGGCAUCCUGGACCGGCAUUGACGCUGAGUGAGCGAAAGCCAGGGGAGCAAAGCGGG
Molecule: ribosomal RNA, 255 nt
Filed under: uncultured bacterium
Lineage: Bacteria
Description: partial 16S ribosomal RNA
Rfam family: Bacterial small subunit ribosomal RNA
Source: RNAcentral